This 328-nucleotide ribosomal RNA is filed under the name uncultured eukaryote. RNAcentral describes it as "partial 18S ribosomal RNA". It matches the Rfam family "Eukaryotic small subunit ribosomal RNA", at positions 1470 to 1796 of the family's 1831-position model. The record is from RNAcentral.
CCCUUAGAUGUUCUGGGCCGCACGCGCGCUACACUGAUACGUUCAACGAGUUUACAACCUUGAUCGAAGGGUCUGGGUAAUCUUUUGAAUGCGUAUCGUGCUAGGGAUAGACUAUUGCAAUUAUUAGUCUUGAACGAGGAAUUCCUAGUAAACGCAAGUCAUCAGCUUGCAUUGAUUACGUCCCUGCCCUUUGUACACACCGCCCGUCGCACCUACCGAUUGGAUGGUCCGGUGAAGCCUCGGGAUUGUGGUUCUUGCCGCUUUAUUGUGGCGUGACCGCGAGAACUUGUCUAAACCUUAUCAUCUAGAGGAAGGUGAAGUCGUAACA